GACGUUUCAAGAUAUUGAACAAUCGGGCUCUAUUGAAUGACAUUGUAUAUCAGAGUAUCCUGACGAGUUACGAGUGGUCAGCAAGGUUAUGUACAGUAUUUUGUCGCUUUUAUUUUUGUGUUGAUGUUUCAAGUUUAAACCUGUGAUUCGCUCUUGGGUGUGAGAGCACCGCAACUAUGACCAUGGUUUUCAUGGUUUUAAACUAUUGCAAUGUAAAAUAUGAAAAUAAAUACACAAUCAAUGUA
This is a long non-coding RNA of Haliotis rubra (blacklip abalone), 245 nucleotides long. RefSeq lists it as uncharacterized. The transcript has 2 exons. The record is from RefSeq and is a predicted model, not a curated record. NCBI's taxonomy places the organism in Eukaryota, Metazoa, Mollusca, Gastropoda, Lepetellida, Haliotidae.